Molecule: ribosomal RNA, 468 nt
Filed under: uncultured bacterium
Lineage: Bacteria
Description: partial 16S ribosomal RNA
Rfam family: Bacterial small subunit ribosomal RNA
Source: RNAcentral
GACGAACGCUGGCGGCGUGCUUAACACAUGCAAGUCGAACGGAAAGGCCCUGCUUUUGUGGGGUGCUCGAGUGGCGAACGGGUGAGUAACACGUGGGUAACCUGCCCUUGACUUUGGGAUAACUUCAGGAAACUGGGGCUACUACCGGAUAGGAGCUCCUGCUGCAUGGUGGGGGUUGGAACGUUUCGGCGGUUGGGGAUGGACUCGCGGCUUAUCAGCUUGUUGGUGGGGUAGUGGCUUACCAAGGCUUUGACGGGUAGCCGGCCUGAGAGGGUGACCGGCGACAUUGGGACUGAGAUACGGCCCAGACUCCUACGGGAGGCAGCAGUGGGGAAUAUUGCACAAUGGGCGGAAGCCUGAGGCAGCAACGCCGCGUGCGGGAUGACGGCCUUCGGGUUGUAAACCGCUUUCGCCUGUGACGAAGCGUGAGUGACGGUAAUGGGUAAAGAAGCACCGGCUAACUACGUG